UAGCGAAAGCUAGUAACCCUAAAGGUAAUAUUAAUUUACUUAAAUAAAGUUCUAAAUAAAAUUAUGAUAAUGACAUAUUUUAUUUAUUAGUCUUGGCUAAUUUGCGUGCCAGCAGUCGCGGUAAUACGUAUAAGACAAGUGUUAUUCAUCUUUAACAGGUUUAAAGGGUACCUAGACAGUAAAAUAAGCCGUAAGGUACUAAUUUACUAGAGUUACUUAUAAGGGGGCUAAUAGGUACUAGUGGUGGAGAGAUGAAAUUCUUUGAUACCUCGCCCUGGAAGGUGAACAUGGCACAGAUUAAGGCGUAAGCUUCUCUUUAUGUGAUAGCUUCAUGUAACAAAAAGGAUUAGAUACCCUCGUAGUUGAAGGCAGACAAUGAUGAGUGUCAUAAGGUACUUUACCAUAUAAACGAUAGUGUAAGCACUCCACCUCAAGAGUAAUUUGGCAACAUUGGAACUGAAAUCAUUAGACCGUUUCUGAAAACAGUAGUGAAGUAUGUUGUUUAAUUUGAUGAUCCGCAAAAAACCUUACCAUGAAUAUUUACAGGAGCUGCACGGCUGUCUUCAGCUAAUGUCGUGAGAUUUUGGUUAGCUCCAUUAAAUUAGCGUAAACCCUUACUUUAUUUUUAAAUAAAGUAGUUCUCUUUUAUAUAGGAUAAGAUAAUAGGGGCUAAGACAAGUCAUCAUGGCCAUAACUGUAGUAAACUUUUACAAAAGGAUGUAAAAUUGUGAAAUUAAGCUA
This 741-nucleotide ribosomal RNA is filed under the name Sporopodium antoninianum. Its description in RNAcentral is "SSU rRNA". It matches the Rfam family "Bacterial small subunit ribosomal RNA", at positions 389 to 1270 of the family's 1533-position model. Lineage: Eukaryota; Fungi; Ascomycota; Lecanoromycetes; Lecanorales; Ectolechiaceae. The record is from RNAcentral.